RNAcentral lists this long non-coding RNA (298 nucleotides) under Ananas comosus (pineapple). RNAcentral describes it as "long non-coding RNA (ACOM_LNC034834)". Lineage: Eukaryota; Viridiplantae; Streptophyta; Magnoliopsida; Poales; Bromeliaceae. The record is from RNAcentral.
AAAACUACCACCACAUGUAGGAAAAAGCUACCACCCCGGUCGUCCGGUAAGUGUGUGAAGCUACCACAUGAAGAUUGAAUUGAAUAACCGAAAAGGUUGAAAAAAAAUUGAAUAUUUUAGAAUUUUCGGAGUUAUAAGGUGUUAGUUUAAAAAAAGAUACUCAAAGAGCCACUCCCGGUAUCAUAUUAGUUAAAUCUCUAUUUUGAACGGAUUGGGACAAAUUGGUGUCAAUUUUGCCGAAUUUCUAAAAAUUAUUUUUCGUGAACCGUUACAUCUUGAUGAUUUUGAAACUCGAGGU